CCUACGGGAGGCAGCAGUGGGGAAUUUUGGACAAUGGGCGCAAGCCUGAUCCAGCAAUGCCGCGUGCAGGAUGAAGGCCUUAGGGUUGUAAACUGCUUUUGUACGGAACGAAAAGGCUUUGGUUAAUACCUGGAGCUGAUGACGGUACCGUAAGAAUAAGCACCGGCUAACUACGUGCCAGCAGCCGCGGUAAUACGUAGGGUGCAAGCGUUAAUCGGAAUUACUGGGCGUAAAGCGUGCGCAGGCGGCUUUGCAAGACAGAUGUGAAAUCCCCGGGCUCAACCUGGGAACUGCAUUUGUGACUGCAUGGCUAGAGUGCGGCAGAGGGGGAUGGAAUUCCGCGUGUAGCAGUGAAAUGCGUAGAUAUGCGGAGGAACACCGAUGGCGAAGGCAAUCCCCUGGGCCUGCACUGACGCUCAUGCACGAAAGCGCGGGGAGCAAACAGGAUUAGAUACCCUGGUAGUCCACGCCCUAAACGAUGUCAACUGGUUGUUGGACGGCUUGCUGUUCAGUAACGAAGCUAACGCGUGAAGUUGACCGCCUGGGGAGUACGGCCGCAAGGUUGAAACUCAAAUGAAUUGACGG
This 585-nucleotide ribosomal RNA is filed under the name uncultured bacterium. RNAcentral's name for it is "bacterial SSU rRNA". It matches the Rfam family "Bacterial small subunit ribosomal RNA", at positions 338 to 916 of the family's 1533-position model. The record is from RNAcentral.